RNAcentral lists this transfer RNA (73 nucleotides) under Wigglesworthia glossinidia endosymbiont of Glossina brevipalpis. RNAcentral's name for it is "tRNA-His (GTG) (tRNA-His-GTG-1-1)". It matches the Rfam family "tRNA". From Rfam's summary of the family: Transfer RNA (tRNA) molecules are approximately 80 nucleotides in length. Their secondary structure includes four short double-helical elements and three loops (D, anti-codon, and T loops). Lineage: Bacteria; Pseudomonadati; Pseudomonadota; Gammaproteobacteria; Enterobacterales; Erwiniaceae. The record is from Rfam by way of RNAcentral.
GUGAUUGUAGCUCAGUUGGAAGAGCCCUGGAUUGUGGUUCCAGUUGUCGUGGGUUCGAAUCCCAUCAAUCACC